Molecule: ribosomal RNA, 388 nt
Filed under: uncultured bacterium
Lineage: Bacteria
Description: bacterial SSU rRNA
Rfam family: Archaeal small subunit ribosomal RNA
Source: RNAcentral
GCGCGAAAAUUUUGCAAUGCUCGCAAGAGUGACAGAGCAAGCUAGAGUGCGUUUUCUUUUAGAAAACGCUUUUGCCUUGUGUAAAUAGCAAGGCGAAUAAGGGAUGGGCAAGACCGGUGCCAGCAGCCGCGGUAAUCCCGGCGUCCCAAGUGGCACUCGCAUUUAUUUGGUCUAAAACAUUCGUAGCCGGCUUCGUAAGUCUUGUGUUAAAUUUCAAGGCUUAACCUUGUACAGGCACAAGAUACUGCAAAGCUAGGGACUGGAAGACGUAAGAAGUACGAUAGGGGUAGCGGUAAAAUGUUUUAAUCCUUAUCGGACUAACAAUGGCGAAGGCAUCUUACGAGGACAGAUCCGACGGUGAGGAAUGAAAGCUAGGGGCGCAAAACGG